RNAcentral lists this ribosomal RNA (429 nucleotides) under Chloroflexota bacterium. RNAcentral's name for it is "Chloroflexi bacterium partial 16S ribosomal RNA". It matches the Rfam family "Bacterial small subunit ribosomal RNA", at positions 355 to 776 of the family's 1533-position model. Lineage: Bacteria; Bacillati; Chloroflexota. The record is from RNAcentral.
UAGGGAAUCUUCGGCAAUGGACGAAAGUCUGACCGAGCAACGCCGCGUGAGUGAAGAAGGUUUUCGGAUCGUAAAACUCUGUUGUUAGAGAAGAACAAGGACGUUAGUAACUGAACGUCCCCUGACGGUAUCUAACCAGAAAGCCACGGCUAACUACGUGCCAGCAGCCGCGGUAAUACGUAGGUGGCAAGCGUUGUCCGGAUGUAUUGGGCGUAAAGCGAGCGCAGGCGGUUUCUUAAGUCUGAUGUGAAAGCCCCCGGCUCAACCGGGGAGGGUCAUUGGAAACUGGGAGACUGGAGUGCAGAAGAGGAGAGUGGAAUUCCAUGUGUAGCGGUGAAAUGCGUAGAUAUAUGGAGGAACACCAGUGGCGAAGGCGGCUCUCUGGUCUGUAACUGACGCUGAGGCUCGAAAGCGGGGAGAGCAAACAGG